This is a long non-coding RNA of Dama dama (fallow deer), 883 nucleotides long. RefSeq lists it as uncharacterized. NCBI's taxonomy places the organism in Eukaryota, Metazoa, Chordata, Mammalia, Artiodactyla, Cervidae. The transcript has 3 exons. The record is from RefSeq and is a predicted model, not a curated record.
AGAGUCAAAAUGAGAAAAAAGAAAGGAAGAAACCAAAACAGUUCUGGAAUUUGUGAGAGUGAAGAAAGGAAUAGGCUACCCACUCCAGUAUUCUUGUCUGGAGACUAUAGCUUCACAUUACGGCUUCCCUGGUGGCUCAGAUGGUAAAAGAAUCUGCUUCAGUGCAGGAGACCUAGGUUCGAUCCCUGGGUUGGAAAGAUCCCGUGGAGAAGGAAAUGGCACUCCAGUAUUCUUGCCUGGAGAAUCCCAUGGACAGAGGAGACUGGUGGGGUAUAGUCCAUGGGGUUGCAAAGAGCUGGACAUGACUCGGUGACUAACACUUUCACUUUAAUAACCUUUAAAACAGGGUGGGCCUACUUUAACUGUCUCCCAGUCAGAGCUGAGGAGGAGUGAGAUGCUGAGGAGGCCCUUUGCAGGUGCGCCUUCCUUCCACAACCUCAACCCCGCUGACCAAGCCCGACGAUGCAGCUGGCGGACCCAACACUGCAGACGACCAUGCCCUGCAGAGCUCUGCCUGGCAGACUUGAUUGCACGUGGCCCUGCGAUCGGCAGGUAGACAGUCCCGUCCCUCUGUGAUGCAAGAAGGGCUCACCGCACAGGACUCAGACAAGAUGGAAGCCACGUUCACCUGAGACCAGGCCUCCCUCGACCCACAGCCAGGCUGAGCCCUCAGACAGCCCUGCUGAGAACAGGCUGGCCUUGGGGGACACAUCCUCCAAUCUACCACCCCUCACUCUUCAUCCCACUGCCCCAUACCUGGGUCUUACGGACUGUCUAACACCUCCCUACAAAGGAAAAGCCCAGAGUGCCUGAUCCCUGACGUGCCUGCCAUGGUCACACAACUCUCCACGGCAACAUCUGUCUCCACACAUCUCUCUCCCUC